This 804-nucleotide ribosomal RNA is filed under the name Bacillus thuringiensis. RNAcentral describes it as "bacterial SSU rRNA". It matches the Rfam family "Bacterial small subunit ribosomal RNA", at positions 169 to 945 of the family's 1533-position model. Lineage: Bacteria; Bacillati; Bacillota; Bacilli; Caryophanales; Bacillaceae. The record is from RNAcentral.
CCUGAUAUCAUGCUGAACUGCAUGGUUUGAAAUUGAAGGGCCCGCUUCGGCUGUCACUUAUGGAUGGACCCGAAUCCCACUAGCUAGUUGGUGAGGUAACGGCUCACCAAGGCAACGAUGCGUAGCCGACCUGAGAGGGUGAUCGGCCACACUGGGACUGAGACACGGCCCAGACUCCUACGGGAGGCAGCAGUAGGGAAUCUUCCGCAAUGGACGAAAGUCUGACGGAGCAACGCCGCGUGAGUGAUGAAGGCUUUCUGGUCGUAAAACUCUGUUGUUAGGGAAGAACAAGUGCUAGUUGAAUAAGCUGGCACCUUGACGGUACCUAACCAGAAAGCCACGGCUAACUACGUGCCAGCAGCCGCGGUAAUACGUAUGUGGCAAGCGUUAUCCGGAAUUAUUGGGCGUAAAGCGCGCGCAGGUGGUUUCUUAAAUCUGAUGUGAAAGCCCACGGCUCAACCGUGGAGGGUCAUUGGAAACUGGGAGACUUGAGUGCACAAGAGGAAAGUGGAAUUCCAUGUGUAGCGGUGAAAUGCGUAGAGAUAUGGAGGAACACCAGUGGCGAAUGCGACUUUCUGGGUCUGUAACUGACACUGAGGCGCGAAAGCGUGGGGAGCAAACAGGAUUAGAUACCCUGGGUAGUCCACGCCGUACACCCAUGAGUGCCUGGUGUUUCGACGGUUUCCCUCCCUUUAUUGCCGGAAGUUAACGUAAUUAUCACUUCCGCCUGGGCGAGAACGGGCCCCACCGCCUGAAGCCUCAAAACGCAAUUGGACGGGGGAGCCCGGCACCACACCAUUAGAA